This 320-nucleotide ribosomal RNA is filed under the name uncultured eukaryote. RNAcentral describes it as "partial 18S ribosomal RNA". It matches the Rfam family "Eukaryotic small subunit ribosomal RNA", at positions 1470 to 1796 of the family's 1831-position model. The record is from RNAcentral.
CCCCUAGAUGUUCUGGGCCGCACGCGCGCUACACUGAACAGUUCAACAAGUCUUAACCUUGUCCGAUAGGUCUGGGUAAUCUUUGAACGCUGUUCGUGAUUGGGAUAGACCUUUGCAAUUAUGGGUCUUCAACGAGGAAUUCCUAGUAAACGCAAGUCAUCAGCUUGCAUUGAUUACGUCCCUGCCCUUUGUACACACCGCCCGUCGCACCUACCGAUUGAAUGGUCCGGUGAAAUCUCGGGACGGCGGCUUGGUCGCUUGCGUCCGACUGCUGAAACUUGAUUAAACCAUAUCAUUUAGAGGAAGGUGAAGUCGUAACA